GUUUUUAAAUAAAAACCCUAGACGGACGAAGCAGAAUCCAAAGAGUUUGAGGAAAUUCCCAGAUUUCGCCUUAUCUAACUUCAUGUAAAGAGAUUAAGAAAAAAUUGAAGGUUAGUAGAGAAUAAAUAAAAAAGAAUCAAAACUUAGAUCUGGACACAACCAGUAAGAACCCUAUGCAAGAUACUUAUGGAAGUAUACAUGGGAAGAAAUAGAAGAAGAUAUAGUUAGAGGGAAAAAAGAACCGAACUUUAGAUCUGGCCACAAUCGUUAAUUUCUAUGCAAUUGAAGUAUAAAGGGGAAGAAAUAGAAGAAGAUCGGCGAUAAAUAAACGAAAAUCAAUGGAACGUAAGACGUUCAAAAUCCUCGAUAUCGCCGAAUCUGCAGUCAUGGAACGUAAGACGUUCAAAAUUUGGGUUAGUAUAGUAUAAAAGAGAACAGUUCAAAAGACAAUAUUUACAAACCUCAAG
RNAcentral lists this small RNA (467 nucleotides) under Arabidopsis thaliana (thale cress). RNAcentral's name for it is "ATSL029730". Lineage: Eukaryota; Viridiplantae; Streptophyta; Magnoliopsida; Brassicales; Brassicaceae. The record is from RNAcentral.